Molecule: long non-coding RNA, 303 nt
Filed under: Capsicum annuum
Lineage: Eukaryota; Viridiplantae; Streptophyta; Magnoliopsida; Solanales; Solanaceae
Description: long non-coding RNA (CANN_LNC010264)
Source: RNAcentral
AAAACCGUAGUACCAGGGGCCCCUACAGGUAUAAUAAUUUUAGCUCCCGGCACGGACAUCAAAACGUUCACAUCGAGUUCCUUAUUGAGUGAUACAAGGGGAUUCACUAUAGCAGGUUUAUUACACGAUAGAUGAUUAGAUGGAAUAGGUAUCUUACCGCCAUUAUUAUACACUGGGCAAGUCGAAAUGAAUUUUGGUUGAAUUGGAAUCUACUGUAACUUCUCUGUGGAUAUUGCCUUCGAUUGAGCUUCUUCUGAAGUGGAUAGUGGUGCAAAUUGAAUUGUGUUCUGCAUUAUCUCCCCC